CUCUCCCUUGUUCUUACCUGAACUAGACUGGAAGAGUGAGUAUUUGAAUUUUUCAGUCUAUAGCCAAAGUGGACACAGGAGAAUCAGACUCUGUAAAAGAAGAAAGUGUUGGCCCCGCAGUCUCUUGAUCCACAUAUGCUUACGAACUCACAAACUGCGAGAUCAGGACCUGAGCUGAAGUCGACGCUUAACCGACUGAGCCACCCAGUUGCAGGAGAAUAAUCAAUCCCGGGACCUAAACCCAGAAGCCAGACUCUGGAGGAUAGGAAUAAUCAUCUAAUGGAACACUUUGACUAGCUUCUUCAAUCUGAGCAUUCUGGCAAGUUUUGGUGGA
Long non-coding RNA from Panthera uncia (snow leopard), 334 nucleotides. RefSeq lists it as uncharacterized. The transcript has 3 exons. Lineage: Eukaryota; Metazoa; Chordata; Mammalia; Carnivora; Felidae. The record is from RefSeq and is a predicted model, not a curated record.